RNAcentral lists this transfer RNA (72 nucleotides) under Patescibacteria group bacterium. RNAcentral describes it as "tRNA-Tyr". It matches the Rfam family "tRNA". From Rfam's summary of the family: Transfer RNA (tRNA) molecules are approximately 80 nucleotides in length. Their secondary structure includes four short double-helical elements and three loops (D, anti-codon, and T loops). RNAcentral also lists the same sequence under 1 other name. The record is from RNAcentral.
CCAGCGGUAGCAAAGCGGUUAUGCAAUGGUCUGUAAAACCAUCCUAGGUAGGUUCGACUCCUACCCGCUGGA